Molecule: ribosomal RNA, 586 nt
Filed under: uncultured bacterium
Lineage: Bacteria
Description: bacterial SSU rRNA
Rfam family: Bacterial small subunit ribosomal RNA
Source: RNAcentral
UAUGCAACCUGCCUAUAAGAGGGGGAUAGCCUUUCGAAAGAAAGAUUAAUACCGCAUAAUACUAUUGACCUGCAUGGGUUGACAGUUAAACUAAUUGGCUUAUAGAUGGGCAUGCGUUCCAUUAGAUAGUUGGUGAGGUAACGGCUCACCAAGUCAGCGAUGGAUAGGGGUUCUGAGAGGAAGGUCCCCCACACUGGUACUGAGACACGGACCAGACUCCUACGGGAGGCAGCAGUGAGGAAUAUUGGUCAAUGGGCGAGAGCCUGAACCAGCCAAGUCGCGUGAAGGAUGAAGGUCUUAUGGGUUGUAAACUUCUUUUAUAAGGGAAUAAAAAAGAUCACGUGUGGUCUAUUGCAUGUACCUUAUGAAUAAGCAUCGGCUAACUCCGUGCCAGCAGCCGCGGUAAUACGGAGGAUGCGAGCGUUAUCCGGAUUUAUUGGGUUUAAAGGGUGCGUAGGCGGUUUAUUAAGUCAGUGGUGAAAGUUUUCGGCUCAACCGGAAAAUUGCCAUUGAAACUGAUAGACUUGAGUGUAAACGAGGUAGGCGGAAUUCGUGGUGUAGCGGUGAAAUGCUUAGAUAUCACGAA